This 420-nucleotide ribosomal RNA is filed under the name uncultured bacterium. RNAcentral's name for it is "bacterial SSU rRNA". It matches the Rfam family "Bacterial small subunit ribosomal RNA", at positions 355 to 776 of the family's 1533-position model. The record is from RNAcentral.
UCAAGAAUCUUCCUCAAUGGCCGAAAGGCUGAAGGAGCGACGCCACGUAUAGGAAGAAGUCCUUCGGGAUGUAAACUAUUUUUUUAAGGGAAUAAGUUUGCCGCAAGGCGAAUUGAAGGUACCUUAAGAAUAAGCCACUGCUAACCUCGUGCCAGCAGCCGCGGUAAGACGAGGGUGGCAAGCGUUAUUCGGAUUUAUUGGGCGUAAAGUGUGUGUAGGUGGCCUGUUACAUCUUUCGUUAAAUUUUUCGGCUCAACCGAAAUAGGACGAAGGAAAUGGACAGGAUAGAGACUGGGAGAGGCAAGUGGAAUUACCGGUGUAGGGGUGAAAUCCGUUGAUAUCGGUAAGAACGCCAAAAGCGAAGGCAGCUUGCUAGAACAGUUCUGACGCUGAGACACGAAAGCGUGGGGAGCAAAAAGG